AGGGUAGUAGUUAAAAUAACAGUUAAAUUGCAAUUAAAAAAUGCUAUAAAUAUAGCCUACCUUA
RNAcentral lists this transfer RNA (64 nucleotides) under Brachyplatys subaeneus. RNAcentral describes it as "tRNA-Ala". The record is from RNAcentral. Lineage: Eukaryota; Metazoa; Arthropoda; Insecta; Hemiptera; Plataspidae.